GCAGUGCCGUGCUGGCUCCCCGCCCGCUUCCCGCCUCCCCCCCUCGCGGGCCGCCAUGUUGUCCCCCGGCGCGGCGGCCGUGGUGGAGGCGUGACGAAGCAGAAAGGUUGCAUCGGAGCCCUUCCUUUGACGCAGAGGAGGAGUUCUGCGUGCAGCAGGGCCACAUGUCAGCAGGAGAAGUUGUCAAGCUCUCCCCACCCGUCACACCCCACCAGGGCCUGUCUGUAAGAUUGAUGCUUUGGAGGAUCUCUGAGUAUUUCUGAAGAACUAAAGAAUUAUGCCUCACAGCAGCCCAUAAGGUGGUAAGUAUUAUUACUAUAUUUUGUAGACGUGAAAGAGUUGUGGGAUAUUGAUAAACAGAGAAAUUGCCAAAUCAGUCAAGUCAGUGGCAAAUAACUUUUUCCUGUAGAAGAAUAUCACUCUUUCUGAUACAAGGAAGGUACAAUGUUGAUAUGCUUCUGCGAACAAGCCGUUGCGGAAUGACUUUAAUUUGAUUGCCCAGG
This 503-nucleotide long non-coding RNA is filed under the name Numida meleagris (helmeted guineafowl). Its description in RNAcentral is "lncRNA (ENSNMEG00000014477.1)". Lineage: Eukaryota; Metazoa; Chordata; Aves; Galliformes; Numididae. The record is from RNAcentral.